Humulus lupulus (European hop) is the source of this 255-nucleotide long non-coding RNA. RefSeq lists it as uncharacterized. Lineage: Eukaryota; Viridiplantae; Streptophyta; Magnoliopsida; Rosales; Cannabaceae. The record is from RefSeq and is a predicted model, not a curated record. The transcript has 3 exons.
GAGAGUAAUGGGUUGGCCUUGGCCUUGGCCAUUGUUGUGGAUUAUGUCUGAAAGAACGGGCUUUAACUGGAAUGACUUGUGAGAAUGGCUUACUUGGGGAAAUGGGAGCCUGAGUUUUCACAACUAACUUUGUGUUUCCUUUGAAGUUAUUCAAAAUGGCUCAUUUUUCAGUGUCAUACAGCAGCAAGACCUGUGAUAUUGGAGCCUGUUAUGCUGGCAAAUUUGUAAGUACCCACAGAAUUAGACAAUAGUACC